This 928-nucleotide ribosomal RNA is filed under the name uncultured bacterium. RNAcentral describes it as "bacterial SSU rRNA". It matches the Rfam family "Bacterial small subunit ribosomal RNA", at positions 57 to 976 of the family's 1533-position model. The record is from RNAcentral.
GCAAGUCGAACGGCAGCGAAGAGAAGCUUGCUUCUCUGUCGGCGAGUGGCGAACGGGUGAGUAUAGCAUCGGAACGUGCCAAGUAGUGGGGGAUAACCAAGCGAAAGUUUGGCUAAUACCGCGUAAGCUCUAAGGAGGAAAGUAGGGGACCGCAAGGCCUUACGCUAUUUGAUCGGCCGAUGUCGGAUUAGCUAGUUGGUGAGGUAAUGGCUCACCAAGGCGAUGAUCCGUAGCGGGUCUGAGAGGACGAUCCGCCACACUGGGACUGAGACACGGCCCAGACUCCUACGGGAGGCAGCAGUGGGGAAUUUUGGACAAUGGGGGGAACCCUGAUCCAGCCAUGCCGCGUGUAUGAAGAAGGCCUUAGGGUUGUAAAGUACUUUUGUUAGGGAAGAAAAGCUAGUUUUGAAUAAAGAUUAGUGCUGACGGUACCUAAAGAAUAAGCACCGGCUAACUACGUGCCAGCAGCCGCGGUAAUACGUAGGGUGCGAGCGUUAAUCGGAAUUAUUGGGCGUAAAGCGAGUGCAGACGGUUGUUUAAGCCAGAUGUGAAAUCCCCGAGCUUAACUUGGGACGUGCAUUUGGAACUGGAUAACUAGAGUGUGUCAGAGGGAGGUAGAAUUCCACAUGUAGCGGUGGAAUGCGUAGAGAUGUGGAGGAAUACCGAUGGCGAAGGCAGCCUCCUGGGAUAACACUGACGUUGAGGCUCGAAAGCGUGGGGAGCAAACAGGAUUAGAUACCCUGGUAGUCCACGCCCUAAACGAUGACAAUUAGCUGUUGGGCUUUGAAAGGCUUAGUAGCGAAGCUAACGCGUGAAAUUGUCCGCCUGGGGAGUACGGUCGCAAGAUUAAAACUCAAGGAAUUGACGGGGACCCGCACAAGCGGUGGAUGAUGUGGAUUAAUUCGAUGCAACGCGAAGAACCUUACCU